Molecule: non-coding RNA, 467 nt
Organism: Danio rerio (zebrafish)
Lineage: Eukaryota; Metazoa; Chordata; Actinopteri; Cypriniformes; Danionidae
Source: RefSeq, a predicted model, not a curated record
UGGGUAACUGCAGCCUGGAGAAAUGGGCGUGGCACAAGGUAGGGGCGUGGCAAAAGGUUUUUCAUUGGUCGAAAUUUUUUCCGGUAGGGGCGUGGCAAAAGGUUUUUUAUUGGUCAGGUUUUCUUUUCGGUCAAAUGUUUUGGCCAAUCAGCAAUCACCAAACGCUUGCACAAUGGCGUCGGUAAAGACGUGAUGUUGACUGCUGUAAACAGACGUGUAUUAAGAUUUACGAUUUAAACAGCCUUGUACAUUGCUCCUGAGGUUGGGUUUGACUAUUCUGAGGCUAUAUGACUUGCAUAAGGAGAUUGUGGUGUGGGUUCUUGCUUGAAGACUCACGGUAAAUAAAAAAUCUUUUUAUACAAUUAAAGUGAUGUCAGUUAGCACUUUGCAAUUAAUUUUUGUCUUCCCUCAAGGUCUCCUUAAGAACGAAAAAGACCCAGAAAUGUAUAGAGCUUAUCUUGGGCAUC